This 253-nucleotide ribosomal RNA is filed under the name uncultured bacterium. RNAcentral's name for it is "partial 16S ribosomal RNA". It matches the Rfam family "Bacterial small subunit ribosomal RNA", at positions 524 to 776 of the family's 1533-position model. The record is from RNAcentral.
UACGUAGGGUGCAAGCGUUAUCCGGAAUUAUUGGGCGUAAAGAGCUCGUAGGCGGUUUGUUGCGUCGGCUGUGAAAUCCCGAGGCUCAACCUCGGGUCUGCAGUCGAUACGAGCAAACUAGAGUGUUGCAGGGGAGACUGGAAUUCCUGGUGUAGCGGUGAAAUGCGCAGAUAUCAGGAGGAACACCGGUGGCGAAGGCGGGUCCCUGGACAACACCUGACACUGAGGCACGAAAGCUAGGGGAGCAAACAGG